Salmo salar (Atlantic salmon) is the source of this 54-nucleotide non-coding RNA. The record is from Rfam. NCBI's taxonomy places the organism in Eukaryota, Metazoa, Chordata, Actinopteri, Salmoniformes, Salmonidae.
AAUGCACCAAUUUGUAAGUCGCUUUGGAAAAGAGCGUCUGCUAAAUGACGUAAA